RNAcentral lists this ribosomal RNA (420 nucleotides) under uncultured Nitrososphaerota archaeon. RNAcentral describes it as "bacterial SSU rRNA". It matches the Rfam family "Archaeal small subunit ribosomal RNA", at positions 459 to 879 of the family's 1478-position model. The record is from RNAcentral. Lineage: Archaea; Thermoproteati; Nitrososphaerota.
CAGCCGCCGCGGUAAAACCAGCACCUCAAGUGGUCAGGAUGAUUAUUGGGCCUAAAGCAUCCGUAGCCGGCUCUGUAAGUUUUCGGUUAAAUCUGUACGCUUAACGUACAGGCUGCCGGGAAUACUGCAGAGCUAGGGAGUGGGAGAGGUAGACGGUACUCGGUAGGAAGGGGUAAAAUCCUUUGAUCUAUUGAUGACCACCUGUGGCGAAGGCGGUCUACCAGAACACGUCCGACGGUGAGGGAUGAAAGCUGGGGGAGCAAACCGGAUUAGAUACCCGGGUAGUCCCAGCUGUAAACUAUGCAAACUCAGUGAUGCAUUGACUUGUGGUCAAUGCAGUGCUGCAGGGAAGCCGUUAAGUUUGCCGCCUGGGAAGUACGUACGCAAGUAUGAAACUUAAAGGAAUUGGCGGGGGAGCAC